Daphnia pulex (common water flea) is the source of this 519-nucleotide long non-coding RNA. RefSeq lists it as uncharacterized. The transcript has 2 exons. NCBI's taxonomy places the organism in Eukaryota, Metazoa, Arthropoda, Branchiopoda, Diplostraca, Daphniidae. The record is from RefSeq and is a predicted model, not a curated record.
CACUAUUAAUUAUAUUAAUGUUUCUUAAUUAGAGGUUGGUGCAAGAUAUCCCCCGUCUGCCCAGAUUUGAUUACGCUGAGUUCGGUGAUUGACGUUGACGAACUGUCCGCCGUAAAAAGCAAAGUUCGCUAUAUCCCGCUUCAAGCGACAGCUGGCGCAAGCGAUCAGGCAGGGGCCGCCGAUAAUGACGGUGAUGAUCAGUUAUUGGCGCUUCCAUCUUUGUGUUCCCGAUGAAAUAUCAAAUAUUUCUUGUUUUGAAAAUUAUUUGUUUUAUUUUUUUCGUUUUCCCCUUGGCGUGAUUGGAAUUUUGGUUCUUUUGGCCGUGAAAUACAACCUAAUGUUGAUUUUGACCGUUAGAUGGCCGUUUAAGCGGCAAAAACUCCAUUUUGUUAUUUUUUUCAAAUAAGAAAAAGUAUCUUUCGAUAUUAGCAAAUAUGAGGGUUUGCAAAAUCCAUAAUGCAAACAAGGCUGUAUUUUUGCUGAUGAAUAAAGCAAACAGCUCUUCUGUUUUCCACCGCA